Molecule: ribosomal RNA, 468 nt
Filed under: uncultured bacterium
Lineage: Bacteria
Description: partial 16S ribosomal RNA
Rfam family: Bacterial small subunit ribosomal RNA
Source: RNAcentral
GACGAACGCUGGCGGCGUGCUUAACACAUGCAAGUCGAACGGAAAGGCCCUGCUUUUGCGGGGUGCUCGAGUGGCGAACGGGUGAGUAACACGUGAGUAACCUGCCCUUGACUUUGGGAUAACUUCAGGAAACUGGGGCUAAUACCGGAUAGAAGCUCCUGCUGCAUGGUGGGGGUUGGAAAGUUUCGGCGGUUGGGGAUGGACUCGCGGCUUAUCAGCUUGUUGGUGGGGUAGUGGCUUACCAAGGCUUUGACGGGUAGCCGGCCUGAGAGGGUGACCGGCCACAUUGGGACUGAGAUACGGCCCAGACUCCUACGGGAGGCAGCAGUGGGGAAUAUUGCACAAUGGGCGGAAGCCUGAUGCAGCAACGCCGCGUGCGGGAUGACGGCCUUCGGGUUGUAAACCGCUUUCGCCUGUGACGAAGCGUGAGUGACGGUAAUGGGUAAAGAAGCACCGGCUAACUACGUG